Molecule: ribosomal RNA, 274 nt
Filed under: uncultured bacterium
Lineage: Bacteria
Description: partial 16S ribosomal RNA
Rfam family: Bacterial small subunit ribosomal RNA
Source: RNAcentral
AUACGGAGGGUGCUAGCGUUGUUCGGAAUUACUGGGCGUAAAGCGCGCGUAGGCGGAUUGGUCAGUUAGGGGUGAAAUCCCAGGGCUUAACCCUGGAACUGCCUCUAAUACUGCCAGUCUUGAGUUCGCGAGAGGUGAGUGGAAUUCCUAGUGUAGAGGUGAAAUUCGUAGAUAUUAGGAAGAACACCAGUGGCGAAGGCGGCUCACUGGCCCGAUACUGACGCUGAGGCGCGAAAGCGUGGGGAGCAAACAGAAUUAGAAACCCUAGUAGUCC